CCGAAUUGUCAACACGAGUUGUUGCUGGUCUUCAAACGAGGACAUGUGCACGCUCUGUUUGCACAUCCACUCACACCUGUGCACCCUCCGUAGUUCUACAGCCUGGGGGCUCUGUCCCCCCUGCCGUGGUUCUACGUAUUUACACACACACGCUGUAAUAAAGUCUCAUGGAAUGUAUGCCGCGUUUAACGCAAUACAAUA
Molecule: unclassified non-coding RNA, 201 nt
Filed under: uncultured Thelephoraceae
Lineage: Eukaryota; Fungi; Basidiomycota; Agaricomycetes; Thelephorales; Thelephoraceae
Description: sequence contains ITS1
Source: RNAcentral